GUGACGAUAGCCUAGGAGAUACACCUGUACCCAUGCCGAACACAGAAGUUAAGCCCUAGAACGCCGGAAGUAGUUGGGG
RNAcentral lists this ribosomal RNA (79 nucleotides) under Streptococcus pneumoniae GA18068. The record is from RNAcentral. Lineage: Bacteria; Bacillati; Bacillota; Bacilli; Lactobacillales; Streptococcaceae.